AUGUCCUACGGGGGGCAGCAGUGGGGAAUAUUGCACAAUGGGGGAAAGCCUGAUGGAGCAACGCCGCGUGGGUGAAGAAGGUCUUCGGAUCGUAAAACCCUGUUGUUAGAGAAGAAAGUGCGUGAGAGUAACUGUUCACGUUUCGACGGUAUCUAACCAGAAAGCCACGGCUAACUACGUGCCAGCAGCCGCGGCAAUACGUAGGUGGCGAGCGUUAUCCGGAAUGAUUGGGCGUAAAGGGUGCGUAGGCGGCCUGCUAAGUCUUGAGUGAAAGGUACCGGCUCAACCGGUACAGGCUCUGGAAA
Molecule: ribosomal RNA, 305 nt
Filed under: uncultured bacterium
Lineage: Bacteria
Description: bacterial SSU rRNA
Rfam family: Bacterial small subunit ribosomal RNA
Source: RNAcentral